This 466-nucleotide ribosomal RNA is filed under the name uncultured bacterium. RNAcentral's name for it is "partial 16S ribosomal RNA". It matches the Rfam family "Bacterial small subunit ribosomal RNA", at positions 28 to 505 of the family's 1533-position model. The record is from RNAcentral.
GACGAACGCUGGCGGCGUGCUUAACACAUGCAAGUCGAACGGAAAGGCCCUGCUUUUGUGGGGUGCUCGAGUGGCGAACGGGUGAGUAACACGUGAGUAACCUGCCCUUGACUUUGGGAUAACUUCAGGAAACUGGGGCUAAUACCGGAUAGGAGCUCCUGCUGCAUGGUGGGGGUUGGAAAGUUUCGGCGGUUGGGGAUGGACUCGCGGCUUAUCAGCUUGUUGGUGGGGUAGUGGCUUACCAAGGCUUUGACGGGUAGCCGGCCUGAGAGGGUGACCGGCCACAUUGGGACUGAGAUACGGCACAGACUCCUACGGGAGGCAGCAGUGGGGAAUAUUGCAAAAUGGGCGGAAGCCUGAUGCAGCAGCGCCGCGUGCGGGAUGACGGCCUUCGGGUUGUAAACCGCUUUCGCCUGUGACGAAGCGUGAGUGACGGUAAUGGGUAAAGAAGCACCGGCUAACUACG